AAGCCAAAACCAAGCUCA
This 18-nucleotide small nuclear RNA is filed under the name Arabidopsis thaliana (thale cress). RNAcentral's name for it is "snRNA_11755". The record is from RNAcentral. Lineage: Eukaryota; Viridiplantae; Streptophyta; Magnoliopsida; Brassicales; Brassicaceae.